This 492-nucleotide ribosomal RNA is filed under the name uncultured bacterium. RNAcentral describes it as "partial 16S ribosomal RNA". It matches the Rfam family "Bacterial small subunit ribosomal RNA", at positions 28 to 507 of the family's 1533-position model. The record is from RNAcentral.
GAUGAACGCUAGCUACAGGCUUAACACAUGCAAGUCGAGGGGCAGCGGUAUCGAAAGCUUGCUUUCGGUAGCCGGCGACCGGCGCACGGGUGAGUAACGCGUAUCGAACCUGCCUCAUACUCGGGAAUAGCCUUGCGAAAGUAAGAUUAAUGCACGGUGUGUUCAGAGUCCCGCAUGAGGCUUUGAACAAAGAUUUAUCGGUAUGAGAUGGCGAUGCGUCCCAUUAGCUUGUUGGCGGGGUAACGGCCCACCAAGGCAUCGAUGGGUAGGGGUUCUGAGAGGAAGGUCCCCCGCAUUGGAACUGCGACCCGGUCCCCACUCCUACGCGAGGCAGCAGUGUGGUAUAUUGGUCAAUGGGCGGAAGCCUGACCCAGCCACGUAGCGUGCAGGAAGCCGGCCCUCCGGGUUGUAAACUGCUUUUAGUUGGGAAUAAAACGGGGCUCGUGAGCCCUCUUGCCUGUACCAUAAGAAAAGGGACCGGCUAAUUCCGUG